UACGGAGGAUGCGAGCGUUAUCCGGAUUUAUUGGGUUUAAAGGGUGCGCAGGCGGAGGCACAGGUCAGCGGUAAAAUCGCGGGGCUCAACCCCGCUCCGCCGUUGAAACUGUGUCCCUUGAGUGCGCGAAGGGUAGGCGGAAUGCGUGGUGUAGCGGUGAAAUGCAUAGAUAUCACGCAGAACUCCGAUCGCGAAGGCAGCCUACCGGCGCGCAACUGACGCUCAUGCACGAAAGCGUGGGUAUCGAACAGG
RNAcentral lists this ribosomal RNA (252 nucleotides) under uncultured bacterium. RNAcentral's name for it is "partial 16S ribosomal RNA". It matches the Rfam family "Bacterial small subunit ribosomal RNA", at positions 524 to 776 of the family's 1533-position model. The record is from RNAcentral.